This is a long non-coding RNA of Archocentrus centrarchus (flier cichlid), 174 nucleotides long. RefSeq lists it as uncharacterized. The record is from RefSeq and is a predicted model, not a curated record. The transcript has 3 exons. Lineage: Eukaryota; Metazoa; Chordata; Actinopteri; Cichliformes; Cichlidae.
GUACUGCUGACCUCUAUGAAUCAAUCACACAAGUGGAAAAUACUAGAAAUGGAGCUGAUCAACACCAAGAUGCUGCAUGCUCUCUGACUGAGCUUCAAAACUUUGGCAAUUAAAGAAGCCACAGGUGGGACAGGCAUGAAUGGAGGGCAGCCACUGACCCCCCCCCCCCCCCCC